GAACGUGCUGAAAAAAAAAAAAAAUUGAAUUUUAUUGAAAUACUUGUAUUAUAAUAUUGAGUUGAUUAAUUCGAAAGCAACUACCGAAUGACAAAAAUUGUCGCAGUGCUGCAAUACAGUACAUAUAAGUAUAGCACCUUUGCCUUGUUAUCAGGAAGGUGCGAGCAACCUCUUCCUCUUUAGCGCUACCACCUGAUUGCGCGGUAAACAUUACCUUAGUGCGUUAGCUCGUGGCACGAGUCGUUAACACUUCCUUUAUUCAUCUGCCCUGAUAUGCAUUCAGUUGAACCUGAAAAUAUAUAUUUAAAUCUUAAUUUUCAAAAAAUUAAGAUACCUAUAAUAUAAAUAAUAAUAGAUUUGAAGAAACAGUAAACGGUGAACUCGUGUGAGUUCGAAUCGAUAUACAUACAUAUUAUCAGAUUGAGAUAAGCUCGAAGAAAAUUCGUUUUAUUGAUAACUGUUAUCUGAUACCACUGGUAAAAGAAUUGUAACAAUUGUCCACUAUGAUUUUUCGAUAACAGCGAACAAAUUAAGAAACCUUCUCGAAAACAGAAAAGAAAUUUUUCUAAUAUAUGUAUAAUUAACGGACGGUAACUAAUUUUCAAAUAAACUAACAAUAGGACGAACAAAUGUUGAAAUUUUCCCAAUGAUAGAUUCACGUUUAAUUUGCUGACAAUGAGUUGAUUUAACCCUUGAACAGCGGAGCCUGGGUCAAUCAUGAUCCAAAUUUAUGUAACUAGGUACAUUUUUAUAAAAGAAUAAGAAAUUGUGCCCUUUAUUAUACAUACGUGUAGCUUCUUAUUGCUUAAUUGAAUUUUCAGGUAUUGUGCAAUUAGGUAUUCUUUUUUACUUAAAUAAUUACAAAGAAUAUGUCGUACCUUUCACACUUUUCUACCUGAAGAAUCAAUAGAAACAUCGAAUAUCUUUGAGAGAAGCCAAUGAUUACACGUUAUCAGUAGACGAUGCGAUAAAGCGAUAACAAGUUGGCUUGUACAGGUAUUAUCGAAAAUCCUCUGUUAAUGGUAGUAUUUUUCUCUUUAAUUUUCAAGUAACAAUACCUACCAGAACUGUAUAAAAUAUCUGUUUUUAUUAUACUUAUUUUGUCGAUAACUAAUCGACGCGACGAUUCGAUCGAUUAUUAUUUGAAAUAAUUAACGAAAAAUUGUAAAAUUAUUCUCAACAAAUUCUCGUUGCUAUUUUAACAAUUUUAAUGAUUUCGCGUUAACUUGUUAAUUAAAUCUUCCAUUUACGAAAAAGCACGGUUUCAUUAACAUACAUAUGUAUACCGGCAAACAAAAUAUCUUUCGUAGACUUUCUUUUGAAAAGCCGAGAAUAUUAGCAAACACGCGAGAAUGAGAAUGAAAUCUUCUGCAAGCAAGCGAAAUAGAUAAAUUUAAAAAAAAGGCGAACGUUCAAACAUUGUUGUUACGGUAAUCGCGUAACAAUUCUCUUAUCAACGUCAACGUGUUUUUCGACACGCUUGUUAAUUAAUGCCAAAACAAUCAAGUAUCAAACCGAGGUCCUUUACUUUGUUCUACUUCGAUGUUAUUUACAACCGAAAGUCUCGUUAUCGCGAUGAAGAGGCAAAAUCUCUGUUUGCAUUUAACCAAGGUUUUGGGUCGAUCGAGACCCAGAUAAUAUGAAUUAGAAAAAUUAGAGUUAACACUAGAAAGAACAUCUGCCGUUGAAUAAAAUUAAAAUUAAUUUUUUUUUCUUAUUUUAGGAGAAGUGAACACGCGAGCUUAAAGCACUACAUAUAACGAAGAGCGAUACACAUUCGAUACCUGAAAAUUCAACAACGUUAUCGGGGCGCGUCGCGGCGCGGCGGUUCUAAAGAAGAAAAAGGUUUCGUUACUCGUGUUCAAGAAAGUUACAUAAUCGUCAUUUUGAAGCGCGAAGCGAAUGUUGUGUGUUCUCUAGUAGCAAUUAUAUCCCUGAAAUUUACACAUGAAAAGGUUACGGUAACAAGAAUUCCAGCUGCGAAUACACGCGACUGCGGGGAAUCCAAUGGUGAUGGUGAUGGACGUGCGCGACUUCCACCGUUUGAUUCUUUUUUUCUUUUCUUCUCUUUAUACGCGAAUAUUCUUUUGAUUGUUUUCAAUUUAUUCUUGAAUUACAAUAUAUAAAUUUAAUUUAUCGAACCUUUAAUUAACCACUUACUUACCGCUAGGUACGUACCCCCCGGUAACAAAAUACCACUGAUCAUGGUAGACAUCCGGAUGGAUAUGCAUUCCGUUUUGACAAGUUCAUCCUCGCGCACGUUAUCGUGAAGAAAGAAGUGGAGGAAAAUGGAAAAGGGUAAGAUUGAUCGAAAGAAAAAAAGAUUGUAAACUAACGAACAACUUUUUUGCAGAAUGAACGAAUGAACGAAUGAACGAACGAAGAGGUUCAAGAACGAGUGACGUGGAUGUCUCUCUGGUGCGACUCAUAUACUCUACCUGCGCCGAUCUGACGUCACGGGUAUGCCUCUUAUCAGGAAGGAGUACCAAUACCUGGGGUAUUCUGAAAAUCUUCAGAUGGCGUUUCUUUUUCAAACAUUUCUUAUUAAUGCAACUGUAUCAUUCCAGGCCAUUGGAGAGACAACGCGUUCCUCGAGUAAACAAUGUCUGCUGUUUAUCCAACUUUGUCAAAGUUAGUUGUAAGUGAUGGUUAUGACGAGGAAGAUUUAACAGAUAUCGAUGAUGAAGUAUUCAUUCGAGAUGGAAAGAAUGGUAGUUUAAAGUUGCAUGAUGAUGGUGGGGUGAAACAGCCUUUGAUGGCACCUCGCAGAAGAUACAAGAAAUCUCAUAAUUUUGAAACAUACAAGCUUUCAAAUAAAGCCUUUUAUGUACCUCUUUGCUUUGGACUCAUGGCAUUAGUAAUAUUAUUAAGUUUAAUUACAUUAUGUAUAUACAUUGUAAAUGUAAUUCCUAUGCCACUGUCAAUCCUAAAAAAUUGGUUGUCACACGACGUUGGAGAUACAUUAAAGGAAUCUAACAUAGUUCCAUGUACCUCAUUGGCAACAAAAAUUUUAUGGACCAGGUCCUUACCAAAAUUGACAUCUGAAUCUCCAUUAAGAACUACUGAUGUUAAUGCUGAUGGAAUUGAAGAUAUCAUCAUUGGAUUUAGUACAGGUUUAGAUGUGAUAAAUACUCCAGAGUACAUUUGUGCACUAUAUUUUGAAGGGCAAGUUCCAUGUUUUGGUGGAGUUUUGGCUUUGAAUGGUAAAACAGGAGAUACACUUUGGAUACAUUGGACAACUCAUGCAAUAUUUUCAAUUGAUUGCAAUUUGGAUUUAACAAAUGAUAAAAUUAAAGAUUGUAUUAUAUGUGGACGUGGAGGAAUACUUCAUGCUGUGAAUGGGCAUGAUGGAACUAGCAUAUGGGAAAUCCCAAUUAGAGAAUUAUCAGCUUCAGAAGAAUGGAAACUUUCUGAUAUUUAUGAUGCUAAAUUUAUUGCUGAUAUUGAUGGAGACGAAAUUGGGGAUGUUAUCGCAUCGCAUACUAUACAAUCGAGAGAAAUUCAUACAAGUGAAAUUCUUAUAAUAUCAGGAAUCAAUGGAAAUGUAAUACACAGUUCAAUUUUACCAAAUACAGAGCAAUUAUUUUUAGCACCUCAAAAAUUAAUACAUCCAGAUGGAGAAAAUAUUUUUAUUCUUGUAACCAGUAGUCAGAAACAAUCGGGAGGGUUGUAUAUAAUUCCUCAAGUAGAUCUAAUGUAUGGUAAUUUGAAUUUACGAAAGUUACAUCAUGAUACGGGAAAAGGAACUUUAUUGCCCCCAAUUUUGGUGGAUGUAACAUUAGACGGAGUUGAAGAUAUUGUUACUGCUAUGUUCAACUCAACAAUAAUAGUUUAUAAUGGAUUAACAUUCGAACCUAUUUGGAAUUAUACCAUCCCCAAUUCUGAAGUAAUAAGUAUACCUAUUCCUGGUUAUUAUAAUGAUGACGAUGUACCAGAUUUUAUGGUAAAACAUCAAAUAGGUUCAGGUUUUCCAACAUAUUAUUAUACAGUAGCAACAAUCAUCGAUGGUAAAACUGGUAAACCAUUAUUAGAAAAGCCAAUAGAAGAUAGUUUAAGUAAAGAAAUGUCUGGUUUAUCAAUUACUGUUGAAGGUUUUGGAAACGAUUGGUUUUUACACUGGUCUGUCGAUUGUUUAAAUUAUGAAGGAGUUAAAGAAAAAUAUCAGUUUUUAAAAAGUGAAGAUCUCGUAUCUGAAUCACGUGUUGAUCUUUGUAAACUGAGGUUUAAUUCCACUUUGACUACAACUUUGUAUGCUUUGAGUCAGCAUGUUGGACCACCUGGUAUAUCGUUAUAUUUUUCUGUAGAUUGGAAGUCUUUAGAAUAUAAUAACUCUAUAAUGGAAUCAUAUGCAAAUAUGCCAUUUGUAUCUGAAAGAUCACCAAAAAUUGAUAGAAAUCAAAAUAAAGACAAUGUACACACAAAAGAACGUAAAGAUAAAUCUGGCGAUAUGAAUAACUAUUUUGAACCUUAUGGACAAUAUGUAACUAAUAAAAAACUAUUUCCUAUGGAUAGUCAGAGUGACAAUAUAGAUGAUUUUAAUCGUGAUUACAAUUUGCAAAAUGAAAAUAAAUGGAUAAACCCAAAUGAGCAAGAAAACAAAGAUUAUGACAUGGUAUAUGAUGGUAAUAAUAACAUUAAUAUACAAGAAGAGCGGUCUAUAAAUUAUUCACAAGUAAAUAAAAGAUUGGAAGGAACAAGUAACAUCAACAAUAGAUUUAUUCACGAACUUAAUACAGAUGUAAAUAAACCAUCAAAUAUUACAAACAGGACAAAUGUACCUAAACAAAUUAAUAAUUAUCUUACAAUUUUUGAUAUUGCAAAUGAUAAAGAUACAGAUGCGGAAACAACGGUGCUGCGCAAAAGAUCAAUGAACAUUUUACAAGACAAUAUGCAGACUCUUACUCGCGAAAAACAAAAAUUACCAAAACAGAAUAAAAAAACAAAUAUUAAAGAAAAAUCAAAAAUAAAAUUAAUAAAUAAAUUACAACUUGAUUCGAAUAAAUAUCAAAAGAAAAGAGAAAUAAAUAGCAAACACAAUAGAAUAUAUCCAACAUAUGGUGUACAAAAGCAACCACCGACUGGCGUCCUAUUACCUUCUAUUUUACAAUCAAAAGGAUCAACUUCCAUAGAUUUAGUAUUUUCUACAUUUUGGUUACCAUCUUCUGAUAUACCUAUAAUACUAAUUCAGGAAGAUCUGGAUUGUAUCCAUAGGAAAAAAAUGCUUUCAGAAAAAAAAUUACAGUACGAACAAAAUGAUGAUAUUGUCAAGGAAUGUUUAAAUGAACGAGGCGUUGAUUAUAAAACAAAUCAAGAAACAACUGAUAAAGAGAAUUCCAAAAUUUCUCUUGGACAAAUGACAAUAUAUAGAAUCAAACUGGAAUGUAUAUGCCCAGAGGAUAUGUUACCUAAUCAAAGUUGCAAAAAUAUUUCAUCCCAUCAGAGUUGGUCUGAAUAUUUGGGUUUGCAUGGGAAUGGAUAUUUCAAACCUCUUUAUAAAGCAAACACGAAAUGAUUUCUUUACACUUUACUUAUACUUUUAUAAACUAUUAUAUUGAUUUUUUUAAAUAUAUUUUUCUUUUCCUCUAUGUGAGGAACGAAUAAAUAUAUAUAUAUAUUUUUUAUAAAUAUUGGAGCUAUUAUUUAAAUUUCAAUGUUGCUAAGACAUGAAUUCUACUUAUUAAUUAGUGUAAGAAUUGUGUAUAAUUGUUCCUUGAAUAUGUACCUGUUGUGUAAUGAAAACUAUCAUUACCAAACUUCAAUACAAUUUGGUACUAAUAUUUUGAGUACAUUAUACUAGAUAAGUAUAUCAGAUGACUUAUAUUAAUAAAAUGUUUACAUAUUCAUAAAAUUAUACCCAAUUGCUUAAACCAACUGCUUUAUUCUUUAUUAUACUAAUGAAAGUAAAUUAUUGAAUAAUGUUACAUGUAAAAUAUUUAUGACAUAUGAAAUAAAUAUUAUAAUUGAUAUAAUGUUAUUAUUUAUACAACGAAAUAAAACUGUGCUGCAUAUAUGUAUGUAUAAGUUCAAAAGUUGUGAAGUUAGUGUUUGAUCAAUAUUCAGUUGCUCCAUAAAUUUUUACUAAACGACUGUUGUCAUAUUCAUUCUUUCUUUUAUUUAAGGUCAUACUAUAUUUGUGUACUUUUUGCAACAAUUAAUUACAUUAAAAUAUAGUUUAUAACUGUUAAUUUAUAAAAACUAUGCCUAGAAGACAAAUAAUAAAUCAAUAUGUGCAGGAAUGUUAUGUCUACAUGUAAAAAGAUGUCGAAAAAUCAAACAUAAGAUUGCAAACAUAAUACAAGGAAACAAUAUAAAACUGAAAAAUAACAUUGGAUUAUAAAGUUCAGGUAAAUUUAUAUCUGCAAAUAUACUCCAAGAAUAAUA
Molecule: RNA transcript, 6381 nt
Organism: Osmia bicornis bicornis
Lineage: Eukaryota; Metazoa; Arthropoda; Insecta; Hymenoptera; Megachilidae
Gene name: cilia- and flagella-associated protein 91-like
Exons: 6
Source: RefSeq, a predicted model, not a curated record